UUGGAGGGCAAGUCUGGUGCCAGCAGCCGCGGUAAUUCCAGCUCCAAUAGCGUAUAUUAAAGUUGUUGCAGUUAAAAAGCUCGUAGUUGAAUUUCGGGAUCAAUGUUUCGGUCAUGCCGUUGGUAUGUACUGAUAUUAUUGAUUUCUCACCUUCUAAAGAACCGUAAUGCCAUUAAUUUGGUGUCACGGGGAAUUAGGACUGUUACCUUGAAAAAAUUAGAGUGUUUAAAGCAGGCUAACGCUUGAAUACAUUAGCAUGGAAUAAUGAAAUAGGACAUCCGAUUCUAUUUUGUUGGUUUCUAGGAUCGAUGUAAUGAUUAAUAGGGAUAGUUGGGGGCAUUAGUAUUCAAUUGUCAGAGGUGAAAUUCUUGGAUUUAUUGAAGACUAACUACCGCGAAAGCAUUUGCCAAGGAUGUUUUCAUUAACCAAGAACGAAAGUUAGGGGAUCGAAGACGAUCAGAUACCGUCGUAGUCUUAACCAUAAACCAUGCCGACUAGGGAUCGGAUGAUGUUAAUUUUUUAAUGACUCAUUCGGCGCCUUACGGGAAACCAAAGUGUUUGGGUUC
RNAcentral lists this ribosomal RNA (566 nucleotides) under uncultured Glomeromycotina. Its description in RNAcentral is "SSU rRNA". It matches the Rfam family "Eukaryotic small subunit ribosomal RNA", at positions 548 to 1114 of the family's 1831-position model. Lineage: Eukaryota; Fungi; Glomeromycota. The record is from RNAcentral.